This 584-nucleotide long non-coding RNA is filed under the name Helianthus annuus (common sunflower). Lineage: Eukaryota; Viridiplantae; Streptophyta; Magnoliopsida; Asterales; Asteraceae. The record is from RNAcentral.
ACGAGGGAGAUUGCUAUUCAGACUUCUCCACUCCCCGGUACUUAGCGUAAAAACCUCAACUUGCCAAGGGAUGCUAGUUACAAUUUCCAGAUCCGCAAACCUUUUAAUAGAUCUAAUCUUGACAACCUUCGGCUCACUCGUCUCGCGACAAACCCCAAACCCGAGCUUGGUGUUAAACAUCUUAGCAUCUACCACAUUAGGCACAACAACAGCAACAGCUUUUCUAAUCGAAGGAUUCCAAAUAACAAGUUUUCCGUCGUUAUACAAACACAACAAGCCAUGAGAACUGCCUAUUUUCCUAUAACUUUCAAGCAUCUUAACCAACGGAGGAAGAGUCACAGAGACUCUCUGUUCAGGGAAAGUAUUAUCAUCAACGAUUGAAACGUAUUUUGCCUCAGAACCAUACCGACGGAUAUACACAAGUAGAUGUUGCUGUUGGGAGCUGUAAUGAGUGAUGAAAUUGGAGCUAUCGAUGAGAGAUUUCCAUGAUUUGGAGACUGAUCGGAAUCGAAUGAGUGAUUUUACUGGAAGCCGAUGUUUGAUGAUUUCCUCUUGAAUCUCGAAAGGCACGUUGUCUGACAUCU